AUUGGGGCGUGACUAAUACAUGCAGUCGAGCGGACAGAAGGGAGCUUGCUCCCGGAUGUUAGCGGCGGACGGGUGAGUAACACGUGGGUAACCUGCCUGUAAGACUGGGAUAACUCCGGGAAACCGGAGCUAAUACCGGAUAGUUCCUUGAACCGCAUGGUUCAAGGAUGAAAGACGGUUUCGGCUGUCACUUACAGAUGGACCCGCGGCGCAUUAGCUAGUUGGUGAGGUAACGGCUCACCAAGGCGACGAUGCGUAGCCGACCUGAGAGGGUGAUCGGCCACACUGGGACUGAGACACGGCCCAGACUCCUACGGGAGGCAGCAGUAGGGAAUCUUCCGCAAUGGACGAAAGUCUGACGGAGCAACGCCGCGUGAGUGAUGAAGGUUUUCGGAUCGUAAAGCUCUGUUGUUAGGGAAGAACAAGUGCAAGAGUAACUGCUUGCACCUUGACGGUACCUAACCAGAAAGCCACGGCUAACUACGUGCCAGCAGCCGCGGUAAUACGUAGGUGGCAAGCGUUGUCCGGAAUUAUUGGGCGUAAAGGGCUCGCAGGCGGUUUCUUAAGUCUGAUGUGAAAGCCCCCGGCUCAACCGGGGAGGGUCAUUGGAAACUGGGAAACUUGAGUGCAGAAGAGGAGAGUGGAAUUCCACGUGUAGCGGUGAAAUGCGUAGAGAUGUGGAGGAACACCAGUGGCGAAGGCGACUCUCUGGUCUGUAACUGACGCUGAGGAGCGAAAGCGUGGGGAGCGAACAGGAUUAGAUACCUUUUGUAGUCCA
This 778-nucleotide ribosomal RNA is filed under the name Bacillus pumilus. Its description in RNAcentral is "bacterial SSU rRNA". It matches the Rfam family "Bacterial small subunit ribosomal RNA", at positions 36 to 797 of the family's 1533-position model. The record is from RNAcentral. Lineage: Bacteria; Bacillati; Bacillota; Bacilli; Caryophanales; Bacillaceae.